RNAcentral lists this long non-coding RNA (355 nucleotides) under Gallus gallus (chicken). The record is from RNAcentral. Lineage: Eukaryota; Metazoa; Chordata; Aves; Galliformes; Phasianidae.
GAAGCCUGGUAAGUGAUAAAGUGUCAAAUUCUUUUAUUUCUGUAUGGUAUGAUUGCUGGAAGUAUUGGUACUGCAUUAACAGAAUUUAUUUUGAGUUGUCUGAACAGGGCUAUGUUAAAUCUGUUAGAAACAAGCUUAAUAAGGUUGUUUCAUGAGUAAUGUAUUCAAUUACUCAAUGGUUAGUGAUAAUUCUGGAGUCAUACCUUCAGCCGCUCUAGCCACUGACUGUAGGAAUCUUCUAACCAGGGACGUUCUUGCAGUUUUGACUUGGCUUCUUCAAAUCCAAAUUGUGGCUCACACUCCAGAACACCAUCAUUGGCUGUCUCAGUCCCAAGACCGCGUUCAAGCAUUCUCC